GACGAACGCUGGCGGCGUGCUUAACACAUGCAAGUCGAACGGAAAGGCCCUGCUUUUGUGGGGUGCUCGAGUGGCGAACGGGUGAGUAACACGUGAGUAACCUGCCCUUGACUUUGGGAUAACUUCAGGAAACUGGGGCUAAUACCGGAUAGGAGCUCCUGCUGCAUGGUGGGGGUUGGAAAGUUUCGGCGGUUGGGGAUGGACUCGCGGCUUAUCAGCUUGUUGGUGGGGUAGUGGCUUACCAAGGCUUUGACGGGUAGCCGGCCUGAGAGGGUGACCGGAGCAGGGGGGAGUGAGGAGCGGGCGGGGGCGGUCCGGGGGAGAACAGUGGGGAAGGGUACAACGGGGGCGGAGGUCUAAAGCAGCUGCGCCGGGGGCGGGGUGAGGGCGUUGGGGUUGGAAACAGAAGUAGCGUGUGACGAAGCGUCAGCGGCGGUAAUAAUAAAAGAAACAACCGCUAACUAGGUG
This 468-nucleotide ribosomal RNA is filed under the name uncultured bacterium. RNAcentral describes it as "partial 16S ribosomal RNA". It matches the Rfam family "Bacterial small subunit ribosomal RNA", at positions 28 to 507 of the family's 1533-position model. The record is from RNAcentral.